Molecule: RNase P RNA, 353 nt
Filed under: Lawsonibacter sp.
Lineage: Bacteria; Bacillati; Bacillota; Clostridia; Eubacteriales; Oscillospiraceae
Description: RNase P RNA component class A
Rfam family: Bacterial RNase P class A
About the family: Ribonuclease P (RNase P) is a ubiquitous endoribonuclease, found in archaea, bacteria and eukarya as well as chloroplasts and mitochondria.
Source: RNAcentral
GCAGUAAGCUGGACAGCCGCGCCGGCGGGGUGAAAGGCCCGCCGGUGAGGAAAGUCCGGGCUCCACAGGGCAGGGAUAACGGGUAACACCCGCCGGGGGCGACCCUAGGAAAAGUGCAACAGAAAUAGACUGCCCUCCUCUCGGGGAGGGUGAUGGUGGAAAGGCGAGGUAAGAGCUCACCCGAUGGCGUGGAAGCGCCCAUCGCUGUAAACUCUAUCCGGAGCAACGCCGUGGAGGGACACACAGGCUGGCCCGGCCGUCCCAGGGAGGCGGCUAGAGCGCGUCAGCAAUGGCGCGUCGAGAUAGAUGGCUGUCUUAAAAGACAGAACCCGGCUUACAGGCUUACUGCAGCA